RNAcentral lists this ribosomal RNA (458 nucleotides) under Aspergillus versicolor. RNAcentral's name for it is "SSU rRNA". It matches the Rfam family "Eukaryotic small subunit ribosomal RNA", at positions 587 to 1051 of the family's 1831-position model. The record is from RNAcentral. Lineage: Eukaryota; Fungi; Ascomycota; Eurotiomycetes; Eurotiales; Aspergillaceae.
GGCUCCAUAGGCGUAUAUUAAAGUUGUUGCAGUUAAAAGCUCGUAGUUGAACCUUGGGUCUGGCUGGCCGGUCCGCCUCACCGCGCGUACUGGUCCGGCUGGACCUUUCCUUCUGGGGAAUCCCAUGGCCUUCACUGGCCGUGGGUGGAACCAGGACUUUUACUGUGAAAAAAUUAAAGUGUUCAAAGCAGGCCUUUGCUCAAACACAUCAGCAGGGAACAAUAGAAGGGGACGUGCGGUUCUUUUUUGUUGGUUUCUAGGACCGCCCUAGUGAUAAACAGGGAUAGUCGGGGGCGUCAGUAUUCACCUGUCAGAGGUGAAAUUCUGGGAUUUGCUGAAGACUAACUACAGCGAAAGCAUUCACCCAGGAUGUUUUCAUUAAUCAUGGAACGAAAGUUAGGGGAUCUAAGACGAUGAAAUUCCGUCUUACUCUUAACCAUAAACCAUACCUACCAGGG